UACGGAGGAUGCAAGCGUUAUCCGGAUUUAUUAGGUUUAAAGGGUGCGUAGGUGGGCGUUUAAGUCAGUGGUUAAAGCCAUUAGCUUAACUAAUGUAUGCCAUUGAUACUGGAUGUCUUGAAUGUGGUAGAGGUAGGCGGAAUGUGUUGUGUAGCGGUGAAAUGCUUAGAUAUAACACAGAACACCGAUUGCGAAGGCAGCUUACUAUUCCAUUAUUGACGCUGAUGCACGAAAGCGUGGGGAGCAAACAGGAUUAGA
Molecule: ribosomal RNA, 258 nt
Filed under: uncultured prokaryote
Description: partial 16S ribosomal RNA
Rfam family: Bacterial small subunit ribosomal RNA
Source: RNAcentral